This 488-nucleotide long non-coding RNA is filed under the name Mus spicilegus (steppe mouse). Its description in RNAcentral is "lncRNA (ENSMSIG00000026030.1)". The record is from RNAcentral. Lineage: Eukaryota; Metazoa; Chordata; Mammalia; Rodentia; Muridae.
AUGUGGUCAGAGUAAUGGGUGUCAUCAGUUCGGUUGCCUUUUCAUUUUCCUGAAGCUUGAAGACAGGAAUUUUCUUCACACGGGACUUCUGGGAAGUUAAGGGAAAGGUAACACUGGCAGGAGAAUCAUCUUUUUGUUGGUCACCAAAAUUUCAGAGAUAUGCCUUUUGAUAACGUUUCCUUAAUGAAUUUUCAUGGGAUGGCCUGAGAGACGGCCCUGUCAUCAGGAUACUCUGAAGAAGACAAGUCUGGAGAUAUCACCGAGAGCUGUGAACAGCGGUCAUGCCUGGAUGUUGCCAAUUGUUAGUGUGGAUAUCAAGGAAGGAUGAAGAGAACGCGUGGAGUGGAACGGAAAUUGUGUUCAAGUAGUGUGCUAGACAGGUGUCUGGAAGCCUGCGUCUUGGCACAAUGAAUUCGUUGUCUCCGUAAUAGGAGGAGCUUACUGACACUCCCUCUGUGUGGUAAAAAUACACCCAGCAAUUUGACAAC